RNAcentral lists this ribosomal RNA (273 nucleotides) under Triticum aestivum (bread wheat). RNAcentral describes it as "partial small subunit ribosomal RNA". Lineage: Eukaryota; Viridiplantae; Streptophyta; Magnoliopsida; Poales; Poaceae. The record is from RNAcentral.
AUGGCUGCUCCCGCGAAGGCAUCGUGGAUGAUGGCGAUGAGCGUGGGCGCCGUGGAGGAGCUCAAGGACCAGGCCGGGCUCUGCCGCUAGAACUACGCACUCAGCUCCAUCCAUCGGGCCGCCAAGGCCAAGGCCAACGUCCGCGUCGGCGUCUCGCAAGGCAAGAAGCAGCUCCCCACCUCCGCGGCGGCGGCGGCGGAGAGGCGACGGGCAGAGAAGGCCGAGGAGGGGCUGAGGACCGUCAUGUACCUCAGUUGCUGGGGCCCAAACUAG